AGCAGCCGCGGUAAUUCCAGCUCCAAUAGCGUAUAUUAAAGUUGUUGCAGUUAAAAGCUCGUAGUUGAAUUUCGGGAUCAAUACGUCGGUCGUGCUUCGGUACGUACUGACGUCAUUGAUUUCUCCCUUCUGACGAACCAUGAUGUCAUUAACUUGGUGUCAUGGGAAAUCAGGACUGUUACUUUGAAAAAAUUAGAGUGUUUAAAGCAGGCUCACGCUUGAAUACAUUAGCAUGGAAUAAUGAAAUAGGACGUUCGAUCCUAUUUUGUUGGUUUUUAGGAUCAACGUAAUGAUUAAUAGGGAUAGUUGGGGGCAUUAGUAUUCAAUUGUCAGAGGUGAAAUUCUUGGAUUUAUUGAAGACUAACUACUGCGAAAGCAUUUGCCAAGGAUGUUUUCAUUAAUCAAGAACGAAAGUUAGGGGAUCGAAGACGAUCAGAUACCGUCGUAGUCUUAACCAUAAACUAUGCCGACUAGGGAUCGGAUGAUGUUAAUUUUUUUAAUGACUCAUUCGGCGCCUUAC
Molecule: ribosomal RNA, 520 nt
Filed under: uncultured Glomus
Lineage: Eukaryota; Fungi; Glomeromycota; Glomeromycetes; Glomerales; Glomeraceae
Description: SSU rRNA
Rfam family: Eukaryotic small subunit ribosomal RNA
Source: RNAcentral